This 1198-nucleotide long non-coding RNA is filed under the name Dromaius novaehollandiae (emu). Its description in RNAcentral is "lncRNA (ENSDNVG00000012927.1)". Lineage: Eukaryota; Metazoa; Chordata; Aves; Casuariiformes; Dromaiidae. The record is from RNAcentral.
AGAAGUUMCAGUCCAUAGCAGUGCAGCUCAUCAGGAGAGACCCAUUUACCUUCUCUUCCCCUGUCCUCAAGCCUCACAGAUUUCUAGGAAUAAAACACCUCAUUUCAUUCUCAGAAUUUGAACACUAGAACGUGAAGAAUAGUUCCAAUCUUCCAGGGCAAUCACUGAAUAAUUCAUUAAUGAGACUUCAACUUCUAAGGAAGAGAUUGUUUAAUUGUUCAGGCCAACAGUGCAGCUCAGGAAUUGAUAUCCUUUACUGCAGAAGCAUAACACAAUCUCAAACCUCAUGGUCGCAGUUCAAGUACAGCCACGGACAGCGAUGUUAGGGGAGCGCUGGCUCUCUGUCAGGCUCUGCUGGCCUGAAGAGUGAGGUGAGCAUGUUUUCCAAAGAAUGACUAAGGCAGCUGCAAGAUAUAGGUUUCACUUUAUCAGUCCCUCAAGGAGAAAACAACUUUGCUUGCCAUUAAAGUCUGCCUGGAAGCUGCGAUAACUGUCCUGAAAAAUUAAAGGAUGGAAAUGGAAUUUCUGUAAAGUGUGUUCCAGUUCACCGCUCAGAAGCUGAAGCACCAAAGGGGAAGAAUAGCUGCUCCAAAUAUAUAGCCAUAAUCUGGGCAGAACCUUGCAAAAAAGUGACAUGCAAAACCUUGUGGAUCACGUGCAGACUUGAGUUGUCUCUUGGUCCACCACAUUAAGAGAGAGCAAGACUGCGAGAACAAAUACAAUCUGCAGGAGGUGCUCCUAGGAAAAAUAAUGAUGUAUUACGCAAUUUAUCUUGCUAGUGUUACUUCCUGUCUCCUUGCCUUGUCUUGGUGCUUUGCCCAACAAAGCUAUCGUCCACUGUAAAUGCAGUGGAGUAUGUCAAAAAGUAGCAAUGAGGAUUUAUGCAGGUAGAUUGCCAUUUGUUGACCACUGCUAAUGAUCAUAGCUGUCUGGGAGAAUGAGGAUGCAUGCGGCUGUGUCUGUCUGCUUGUGGUUCUUUUGAAAAAUUUUGACAGCGACUGCAAAAUGUCUCAACAGCCUUCGGCUCACCCAUCACUACUCACUGCCUCCAUUUGUGAUUCAGAGGGCUCACUUUUGAUGACUUAACUGGUGCCUUCUGCACAGAGCUGAGCUUAGAAGGAGGCUCCAAGUCAAGAUGGCAAGACCGUGUUGGCCGCAGACCCCAUCCUGCCGGGUGCCCAUGAGCGACUGCACGACU